GACGAACGCUGGCGGCGUGCCUAAUACAUGCAAGUAGAACGCUGAAGGAGGAGCUUGCUCUUCUGGAUGAGUUGCGAACGGGUGAGUAACGCGUAGGUAACCUGCCUGGUAGCGGGGGAUAACUAUUGGAAACGAUAGCUAAUACCGCAUAAGAGUAGAUGUUGCAUGACAUUUGCUUAAAAGGUGCAAUUGCAUCACUACCAGAUGGACCUGCGUUGUAUUAGCUAGUUGGUGGGGUAACGGCUCACCAAGGCGACGAUACAUAGCCGACCUGAGAGGGUGAUCGGCCACACUGGGACUGAGACACGGCCCAGACUCCUACGGGAGGCAGCAGUAGGGAAUCUUCGGCAAUGGACGGAAGUCUGACCGAGCAACGCCGCGGGAGUGAAGAAGGUUUUCGGAUCGUAAAGCUCUGUUGUAAGAGAAGAACGAGUGUGAGAGUGGAAAGUUCACACUGUGACGGUAGCUUACCAGAAAGGGACGGCUAACUACGUG
This 495-nucleotide ribosomal RNA is filed under the name uncultured bacterium. RNAcentral describes it as "partial 16S ribosomal RNA". It matches the Rfam family "Bacterial small subunit ribosomal RNA", at positions 28 to 507 of the family's 1533-position model. The record is from RNAcentral.